Molecule: non-coding RNA, 3025 nt
Organism: Manis javanica (Malayan pangolin)
Lineage: Eukaryota; Metazoa; Chordata; Mammalia; Pholidota; Manidae
Source: RefSeq, a predicted model, not a curated record
CUUCCUGCUCCACAAUCAGCCCAUCCUUCUUCCCAGGACCUGGAUGCAGAGGCCCGGCUAGAGCUCCCCUGUAGCUGUGUUGAGGACAUGCGGCAUUUGACCUGUGACCCCACAGGAAGUCUUUCUGACCUCUGAGGCGAACCUCAGGAGGAAAACCAUGACCCCACGAGGUCGCAGAGAAUGUUCACCGAGGAAGUGACAUCAGGGGCCUCAAUGGCCACCCCCUCCUCAAGAUUCCCCGCUGCUCCCAGCUGCCUGGGCCUCUCUCACAUGUCUGCGUGCUCCCCACACAAGCUUGCAGGGACGACAUUGCCGAGGACUAGAUCAGAGAAGGCACUUCAGAUGAUGCACGAAGAUGUCUCUCCCCAGCCGCGGCUCAUUCACUGGUUUGCUCACCAAACGCAAGGCGUGGACCAGAAUCAGGUGCCCAGCAGUGAGCAGAGGCAUCCCUGCCCUUGGGAACUUGCAGGGUGGGAGCCCGAUAGAUGCUGCGUGACUUCCCCUGCCCAACCACGAAUACAUGAACAAGACCCAGGGAGCGAAGGGAGGCCGGCUGGAGGGGCUGCGGCCGUGGCCAAUGCUUGCCCGCCCCCUCCACGCUCUGGAGGGGCACGAACCCUUGGUGUGCAGAUAGGUAUGAGUUUCAUUAGUGAGAACCAGAAAAAUGAGUCCUUGGGUGAAAGGGCAGGACCUCGGAUGUGUCAGCAAAGAGAAAAGGGCACACGCGGAGUGGAGGCCUGCGCUGUGAUGAGGUGCCACCUCCAUGCAAAGGCAGGAUUUCCUGGAUCUGAAGUGGGGAAGGUCCUCCAGAGGUCAUCCCGUCCAUCCCCCUGCCUCUGUGGACUUUCUCAGACAAAGAAGGUGGACUGGAUCCACAGCCCACUCUGUGUUUAACACCUCUUGCCUCAAGAGGCCCUUACCACUGUCAAGCGCCUCUACCCACGGAGAUGAGCAGAGCCUGGGAGUCGGGAGGGGAAGGGGAAGACACGCUGCCUCCAUCCUGUACUCUUGCCAGGCGGGGCCCUGGACUCUGUCUCUGGGGCUCUGCUUUCAUACCCUUUCUCCUAAGUUUUAUAUAUAUAUAUAUAUAAAGUUAUAUAUAUAUAUAUAAACUAGCUCAGUGUUCUUCGCCACAAAGCUAUCUCCCAGAAGAACUUUGCCUAAAAGAAAGUAUAUUUCUUACACACAAGAAGUAAGUGAGUCUAAGACGGACCACACUUCAGUGUUGCGAUGCAGGGGCCAGGGCAGGAAGCUUCCAGAUUUAUACCUAAGAGCAAUAAUGAAUCCAUUGUUAAAACUCACCAGCGUUGCUUUGUGCUGAACCCUCUGCGGGCGUUGCUCUGCCGGCCCUCGCAGCAGUCCCAGGAGGCAGGGAGGCUGCACUGGCCUCUGAGGUGAGCGGACAGCCGACCUGCCCAGCGUGGCGGACAGUGCUGUGUGCUCCCGAUCCCCAAGCCUGCGGCCUUGUCUUACAAGAAAAGGAAUUUCACAGAUGUGACUGAUUCAAGGAUCCUGAGAUGGGGAGGUCACCCCGGGUCAUCUGGCUGGGCCUGGGGAGUCCCAGAGGGCUUCAUGAGAAGAGUCGGAGAAGGAGGCGUGACAAAACAGAAAGUCCUGAAGCCGGGAGAGGGGGUCACCAGCCAAGGGAUAUGGGCGGCAUCCAGCAUCCAGAAAAGGCCGGGGAAGAGACUCCCCACUGCAGUUUCCAGAAAGAACACAGCGCUGCCAGUCCACGCGGGACUUCUGACCUGCAGAACGCUACGACAGUCACUUUGUGUUUAAAAGUUGGUAUUUGUUACAGCAGCAGAAACCGAUAGGACUGACAGACUAGCAGGUGAGGCCAGCAGAGUGAUGGGCACUGCCCCGGGGCAGGAAAAGAAAUCAGGUCAUCAAUCCUAUUCGGAACCAAGUCCGUCUCGGGGGUCCCCACCCUCCGGGUGAGUAUCGCCAGGUCCCACGCUCCCUGUCUGACCACUGGCUCCUGCCCCGUCCCCAGCUCCUGCCCCGGGCAGAGCCUCGCCCUUCCCUUCCUAUUCCUAGGACCACUGGGGACAUCUGAGAGCCAGCGGAGGAGUCAGGCCCCAGAGGGGUGCAUGCGCAGGAGAGAGAGGCGGAGAGCCCUCCGUGGGACGGCAUAUGAAGGAUUGGGCGAGAAGAUUGAGGUGCACAUGGUCACAGUAGCAUGUGACGGAGUCAACAUUCAAAUUCGGGGCAGCCCACUCCACAUGGCACCCAGAUUGUCCCGAUAAGUGUGCACGAAAAGGAACAGGAGCCGCCCAGCGUCCGGGGUCCUGGCUCCGGCUCCCUCUCAGCUCAGGCUCUGGCGCGGAAGUCGAGGCCGGCCUCCCAGCCCUGCUCUGCCCCUUCCCGGCCUGGAUGAAGGCUCCUUCGGCUCCUUCCCCUUCAGACUCCCAGUCUGCCCCUGUGGAACACGAUGGCAUCGGCACGUUCUUCCUGCAGUCCAGCGUCCACCCGUCCUGCAGGUCAGGCCCAUUUAUAAGAGCCAAGACAGACAGGAGAGAGGAUGUGGCUUCUCUCAGAGAGCGUAUUCUUGGUCUCUGGAACCAGGGUUUAAUUCUCUGACCAUGACAGCCAGGGCUGGCCAGUCACACGUCUUAACGGGAGAGCUUAAAUUACAGAGGACCAAGUUAGAGAAAAGAAAAAAACCCACACAAACAGCAAAACCCACCCGACUCCCAGCCACUCUACUGCAGCUGAUGGGUAAUUAUCUGCUGUUUGUGAGCAUUCAGGGCUCCAACCCCGACCGGCCAGGACGGUCAGCCUGGGCCUGGGCAGGAGGCCAACGAGCUGGUGCCAGGUUGAGACAAUUGUGUGGGGCCUGUCCAGACCCUCUCGACUUCUCUCCCCCUCUUCUGCCCCUCUGCUCCCCUCCAAUCAGGGGAGGGGCUGCCCUCUCUUGCCACCACCCCCUCCCCAACGCUCUGAGGAGAGAGGGAGUGAUUAGCACGGGGCAUUGUCCCCGGAUAAUGGGCCCCAGCUGCCGCUAGAAAGAAGAGACAAAGAG